Long non-coding RNA from Clarias gariepinus (North African catfish), 837 nucleotides. RefSeq lists it as uncharacterized. The transcript is spliced from 3 exons. NCBI's taxonomy places the organism in Eukaryota, Metazoa, Chordata, Actinopteri, Siluriformes, Clariidae. The record is from RefSeq and is a predicted model, not a curated record.
AGAGUGACAGAAAGCUCAGGGCGCGUGCACCGCCAACCGCUGGAUUUAACUGUUUCCCGCGUUGGCGCGAGACUGUCACGAGAACUGCGCGUGCGCGAACGAAGUCGGCCUCGUGCCGCUGUGCAGAUUUCAGAGCUGAAUGAUGUCCUCAGAUGUAUCUCAGAGAUGGAACCUAUCUCAAAGUGACAAAAGAGCUGAAGCAUGAUAUUCUUGAGGAGCUCGCUGAGACCAUGUAUGCAUUUGAUGCAUACCCAGCAAAGAGAGAUUAUGAAGCUGUUGCAAAAGCCUUCGUAGAAACACACUCGUGUCUUAAAGAAUCUGGGUCAUCCUCUGGCUGGGAUGGAUGGAAGAACAGCCUCAAAUUCAAGAUGGGUAAUUAUAGAACCAAAAUGCGCCAGUUGGGUCGACUGAUGUCACUAUCAACGGUGGUAAACAUGAAAGAUACAGUACACAUGCCGCCCCUCCCAACAAAGCCAUCAAGAAACCAAGGAAGGGGAUAUUAACUCCCUACCUGAAUAUCUAGAGGGGUUGGAUGACCACUACCCGGAAGAAGCUCGUCAAUCCCUGGUCACAGAAAUGAUUAAGACAAAGCCAAAUGGAUCCCUUGUUUAGAAAGUGAUGGACAAGCCGUUUACUCUUCUGAGAAAAUAAGUUGUUAAAGACAAGCCCUCUUGACAGAAAGCCAGGUUUAUUACGAGUUCAACAGGGUGGUGGGAAAAAAAAAUCUCAGAGAGGACUUCUUUGAUGCACUUGACCGUUUCUCUCCAAGCCUGAUGGACCUGUUCAGGAAAAAGAGAGACCUCACUGGCCAGCUUUUGGCUGGGCUUUUAUGUCAGA